GCAAAUUGAGGUAGUAGGUUGUAUAGUAGUAAAUUUGAAAAUAUUAAACGUACUAUACAACGUGCUAGCUUUCUUUGC
Glossina fuscipes fuscipes is the source of this 78-nucleotide non-coding RNA. NCBI's taxonomy places the organism in Eukaryota, Metazoa, Arthropoda, Insecta, Diptera, Glossinidae. The record is from Rfam.